This 29-nucleotide non-coding RNA is filed under the name Rattus norvegicus (Norway rat). The record is from RNAcentral. Lineage: Eukaryota; Metazoa; Chordata; Mammalia; Rodentia; Muridae.
UCCAAACCCUCUAACAAGUUGCCUUGGUC